Molecule: ribosomal RNA, 333 nt
Filed under: Triticum aestivum (bread wheat)
Lineage: Eukaryota; Viridiplantae; Streptophyta; Magnoliopsida; Poales; Poaceae
Description: partial small subunit ribosomal RNA
Source: RNAcentral
AUGACAACAAUGGAGGACCUCAUCGUGGCACAAUCCGGCCAAGAGUUCGCGCCGCCGCAGCCGACGACCAAUAGCUCGCGCCGCCAGGCCACCGUGGCGGGAGCCAAGGCCGCGGCCGUCGCCACCGUCGCUGCCGCAGUACCUACACUGGCGAGCGUGAGGAUGCUGCCGUGGGCGAGGGCGCACCUGAACCCCACAGGCCAGGCGCUCAUCAUCUCCACCGUCGCUGGGAUGGCCUACUUCAUCGUCGCCGACAAGACCAUCCUCUCCAUGGCCAGGAAGCACUCCUUCGACGACGCGCCAGACCACCUCAAGAACACCUCCUUCCACUAA